GGAUUUGUAGCUUAGUUGGUAGAGCAGGUCCCUCUUAAGGACAAGGUCGCGGGUUCGACUCCCGCCAAAUCCACCA
This 76-nucleotide transfer RNA is filed under the name Candidatus Peribacteria bacterium. RNAcentral describes it as "tRNA-Lys". It matches the Rfam family "tRNA". From Rfam's summary of the family: Transfer RNA (tRNA) molecules are approximately 80 nucleotides in length. Lineage: Bacteria; Candidatus Peregrinibacteriota; Candidatus Peribacteria. The record is from RNAcentral.